This 301-nucleotide ribosomal RNA is filed under the name uncultured bacterium. RNAcentral's name for it is "partial 16S ribosomal RNA". It matches the Rfam family "Bacterial small subunit ribosomal RNA", at positions 509 to 807 of the family's 1533-position model. The record is from RNAcentral.
CAGUAGCCGCGGUAAUACAGAGGGUGCGAGCGUUAAUCGGAUUUACUGGGCGUAAAGCGUGCGUAGGCGGCUUCUUAAGUCGGAUGUGAAAUCCCUGAGCUUAACUUAGGAAUUGCAUUCGAUACUGGGAAGCUAGAGUAUGGGAGAGGAUGGUAGAAUUCCAGGUGUAGCGGUGAAAUGCGUAGAGAUCUGGAGGAAUACCGAUGGCGAAGGCAGCCAUCUGGCCUAAUACUGACGCUGAGGUACGAACGCAUGGGGAGCAAACAGGAUUAGAUACCCCAGUAGUCCCUGUCUCUUAUAC